GGAAGAGUGGUUGGUAACGGAGUUCGGGUUUAAGAGAGUGGUGUCUCUCCGAAGGCGGUGAGUUGUUCAACUACGGAAAAGAAAGAAGGAGUCGCGUGUGAUGAUUUUUUGGCCAGAUCUGGUUUGUGGAUUGUUUUUUGGCCAGAUCUGGCCCGUAUCUCCGGCUAAUAGUGAUGGCGGUGAGGGGCGGCGUGGCUAAUGGAUCCGGUGGAGA
This 214-nucleotide long non-coding RNA is filed under the name Capsicum annuum. Its description in RNAcentral is "long non-coding RNA (CANN_LNC005268)". The record is from RNAcentral. Lineage: Eukaryota; Viridiplantae; Streptophyta; Magnoliopsida; Solanales; Solanaceae.